This 433-nucleotide ribosomal RNA is filed under the name uncultured bacterium. RNAcentral describes it as "partial 16S ribosomal RNA". It matches the Rfam family "Bacterial small subunit ribosomal RNA", at positions 29 to 507 of the family's 1533-position model. The record is from RNAcentral.
AACGAACGCUGGCGGCAGGCCUAACACAUGCAAGUCGAGCGCGCCCUUCGGGGUGAGCGGCGGACGGGUGAGUAACGCGUGGGAACGUGCCCUUUUCUACGGAAUAGCCUCGGGAAACUGAGAGUAAUACCGUAUACGCCCUUUGGGGGAAAGAUUUAUCGGAAAAGGAUCGGCCCGCGUUGGAUUAGGUAGUUGGUGGGGUAAUGGCCUACCAAGACGACGAUCCAUAGCUGGUUUGAGAGGAUGAUCAGCCACACUGGGACUGAGACACGGCCCAGACUCCUACGGGAGGCAGCAGUGGGGAAUCUUAGACAAUGGGGGCAACCCUGAUCUAGCCAUGCCGCGUGAGUGAUGAAGGCCUUAGGGUUGUAAAGCUCUUUCAGCUGGGAAGAUAAUGACGGUACCAGCAGAAGAAGCCCCGGCUAACUCCGUG